CAGCAGCCGCGGUAAUACGAAGGGGGCUAGCGUUGCUCGGAAUUACUGGGCGUAAAGGGAGCGUAGGCGGGUCGUUUAGUCAGAGGUGAAAUCCCGGGGCUCAACCUCGGAACUGCCUUUGAUACUGGCGACCUUGAGUAUGGGAGAGGUGAGUGGAACUCCGAGUGUAGAGGUGAAAUUCGUAGAUAUUCGGAAGAACACCAGUGGCGAAAGCGACUCACUGGCCCAUUACUGACGCUGAGGCUCGAAAGCGUGGGGAGCAAACAGGAUUAGAUACCCCCGUAGUCCCUGUCUCUUAUAC
This 301-nucleotide ribosomal RNA is filed under the name uncultured bacterium. RNAcentral describes it as "partial 16S ribosomal RNA". It matches the Rfam family "Bacterial small subunit ribosomal RNA", at positions 509 to 807 of the family's 1533-position model. The record is from RNAcentral.